Molecule: ribosomal RNA, 262 nt
Filed under: uncultured bacterium
Lineage: Bacteria
Description: partial 16S ribosomal RNA
Rfam family: Bacterial small subunit ribosomal RNA
Source: RNAcentral
GUCCACGCCGUAAACGUUGGGCACUAGGUGUGGGGCUCUAUCGACGGGCUCCGUGCCGUAGCUAACGCAUUAAGUGCCCCGCCUUGGGAGUACGGCCGCAAGGCUAAAACUCAAAGGAAUUGACGGGGGCCCGCACAAGCGGCGGAGCAUGUGGCUCAAUUCGAUGCAACGCGAAGAACCUUACCUGGGCUGAACUACGCGGGAAAAGCCGUAGAAAUACGGUGUCCUUCGGGGUCCGCGAUAGGUGGUGCAUGGCUGUCGU